AGUGAACGCUGGCGGUAGGCCUAACACAUGCAAGUCGAACGGCAGCACAGGAGAGCUUGCUCUCUGGGUGGCGAGUGGCGGACGGGUGAGGAAUACAUCGGAAUCUACUUUUUCGUGGGGGAUAACGUAGGGAAACUUACGCUAAUACCGCAUACGACCUACGGGUGGAAGCAGGGGACCUUCGGGCCUUGCGCGAUUGAAUGAGCCGAUGUCGGAUUAGCUAGUUGGCGGGGUAAAGGCCCACCAAGGCGACGAUCCGUAGCUGGUCUGGGAGGAUGAUCAGCAGCACUGGAACUGAGACACGGUCCAGACUCCUACGGGAGGCAGCAGUGGGGAAUAUUGGACAAUGGGCGCAAGCCUGAUCCAGCCAUACCGCGUGGGUGAAGAAGGCCUUCGGGUUGUAAAGCCCUUUUGUUGGGAAAGAAAUCCAGCUGGCUAAUACCCGGUUGGGAUGACGGUACCCAAAGAAUAAGCACCGGCUAACUUCGUGCCAGCAGCCGCGGUAA
Molecule: ribosomal RNA, 506 nt
Filed under: uncultured bacterium
Lineage: Bacteria
Description: partial 16S ribosomal RNA
Rfam family: Bacterial small subunit ribosomal RNA
Source: RNAcentral